AGAGUUUGAUCCUGGCUCAGAUUGAACGCUGGCGGCAUGCUUUACACAUGCAAGUCGAACGGCAGCACGGGUGCUUGCACCUGGUGGCGAGUGGCGAACGGGUGAGUAAUGCACCGGAACGUACCCAGUAAUGGGGGAUAACACAUCGAAAGAUGUGCUAAUACUGCAUACGCCCUGAGGGGGAAAGCGGGGGAUCGUAAGACCUCGCGUUAUUGGAGCGGCCGAUGCCGGAUUAGCUAGUUGGUGAGGUAAGAGCUCACCAAGGCGACGAUCCGUAGCUGGUCUGAGAGGACGACCAGCCACACUGGGACUGAGACACGGCCCAGACUCCUACGGGAGGCAGCAGUGGGGAAUUUUGGACAAUGGGCGCAAGCCUGAUCCAGCCAUGCCGCGUGAGUGAAGAAGGCCUUCGGGUUGUGAAGCUCUUUCGCAAGGAAAGAAAACUUAUCUACUAA
Molecule: ribosomal RNA, 455 nt
Filed under: uncultured bacterium
Lineage: Bacteria
Description: bacterial SSU rRNA
Rfam family: Bacterial small subunit ribosomal RNA
Source: RNAcentral